This 505-nucleotide ribosomal RNA is filed under the name uncultured bacterium. RNAcentral's name for it is "partial 16S ribosomal RNA". It matches the Rfam family "Bacterial small subunit ribosomal RNA", at positions 28 to 507 of the family's 1533-position model. The record is from RNAcentral.
GACGAACGCUGGCGGCGUGCCUAAUACAUGCAAGUAGAACGCACAGUUUAUACCGUAGCUUGCUACACCAUAGACUGUGAGUUGCGAACGGGUGAGUAACGCGUAGGUAACCUGCCUGGUAGCGGGGGAUUACUAUUGGAAACGAUAGCUAAUACCGCAUAAUAUUAAUUAUUGCAUGAUAAUUAAUUGAAAGGUGCAAUUGCACCACUACCAGAUGGACCUGCGUUGUAUUAGCUAGUAGGUGAGGUAACGGCUCACCUAGGCGACGAUACAUAGCCGACCUGAGAGGGUGAUCGGCCACACUGGGACUGAGACACGGCCCAGACUCCUACGGGAGGCAGCAGUAGGGAAUCUUCGGCAAUGGACGAAAGUCUGACCGAGCAACGCCGCGUGAGUGAAGAAGGUUUUCGGAUCGUAAAGCUCUGUUGUAAGAGAAGAACGGGUGUGAGAGUGGAAAGUUCACACUGUGACGGUAUCUUACCAGAAAGGGACGGCUAACUACGUG